CACCCGAGACUGGAAAGUCAGUACCAAAACGACGGAAAAGGCGGGAACGCAUACAGCAGUCCAGCCAAUCAACAAAACUGCAGAAAAUUGCAUCUUCUACGAAACGGCUUCUUCUUUUUGUCUUACUGUUCAUGGCCCUUCUUGCGGCCAUAUAUUAUGGCUACAAGGGUCUUUUAUGGCUCAAUGACUGGAUGAAUGAAGUUGAUGAGCGAAGACGAAGAAGAUAUUCUCGAAUCUCAUAAAGUACAGUGGUUAAUUUUAUCCGCCCAUGAGGAUGAAGUGACCCAACAUGCUCGAAAGUACGCGUUAGAUUCUGAGGACAUAAUGAUGCAAGUUGGUUUUAUUAUAGGAGCUUUUUCUUUUAUUAAAAAAAAGAGUCUUGAAGAAAGUUUAUGUCUGUUAUACCGAGUUGAUAGUCUUCAAUAAAUAUUGGAAGUUUUGAAGUGUCCUACUGUGAUUAUCAUGAACUUAAAGAUGGAAUGCCUUUCUAGUUUUGAUGUUAA
This is a long non-coding RNA of Neltuma alba, 503 nucleotides long. RefSeq lists it as uncharacterized. The transcript is spliced from 2 exons. NCBI's taxonomy places the organism in Eukaryota, Viridiplantae, Streptophyta, Magnoliopsida, Fabales, Fabaceae. The record is from RefSeq and is a predicted model, not a curated record.